UUUUGGACAAUGGGCGCAAGCCUGAUCCAGCCAUCCCGCGUGUGCGAUGAAGGCCNUCNNGUUGUNANGCACUUUUGUCAGGGNNNNNAAGGUUCUGGCUAAUACCCGGAACUGAUGACGGUACCUGAAGAAUAAGCACCGGCUAACUACGUGCCAGCAGCCGCGGUAAUACGUAGGGUGCAAGCGUUAAUCGGAAUUACUGGGCGUAAAGCGUGCGCAGGCGGUUCGGAAAGAAGGAUGUGAAAUCCCAGGGCUCAACCUUGGAACUGCAUUCUUAACUACCGAACUAGAGUAUGUCAGAGAGGGGUAGAAUUCCGCGUGUAGCAGUGAAAUGCGUAGAUAUGCGGAGGACUACCGAUGGCGAAGGCAGCCCCCUGGGAUAAUACUGACGCUCAUGCACGAAAGCGUGGGUAGCAAACAGG
RNAcentral lists this ribosomal RNA (422 nucleotides) under uncultured bacterium. RNAcentral describes it as "partial 16S ribosomal RNA". It matches the Rfam family "Bacterial small subunit ribosomal RNA", at positions 362 to 776 of the family's 1533-position model. The record is from RNAcentral.